UACGAAGGGGGCUAGCGUUGCUCGGAAUCACUGGGCGUAAAGCGCACGUAGGCGGAUUGUUAAGUCAGGGGUGAAAUCCUGGAGCUCAACUCCAGAACUGCCUUUGAUACUGGCGAUCUUGAGUCCGGGAGAGGUGAGUGGAACUCCGAGUGUAGAGGUGAAAUUCGUAGAUAUUCGGAAGAACACCAGUGGCGAAGGCGGCUCACUGGCCCGGUACUGACGCUGAUGCGCGAAAGCUAGGGGAGCAAACAGG
Molecule: ribosomal RNA, 253 nt
Filed under: uncultured bacterium
Lineage: Bacteria
Description: partial 16S ribosomal RNA
Rfam family: Bacterial small subunit ribosomal RNA
Source: RNAcentral